RNAcentral lists this transfer RNA (76 nucleotides) under Bacteroidota bacterium. RNAcentral's name for it is "Bacteroidetes bacterium (marine metagenome) tRNA-Trp". It matches the Rfam family "tRNA". Rfam says of the family: Transfer RNA (tRNA) molecules are approximately 80 nucleotides in length. Their secondary structure includes four short double-helical elements and three loops (D, anti-codon, and T loops). Lineage: Bacteria; Pseudomonadati; Bacteroidota. The record is from RNAcentral. RNAcentral also lists the same sequence under 1 other name.
AGGUCCGUAGCUCAAUUGGUAGAGCACCGGUCUCCAAAACCGGGGGUUGGGGGUUCGAGUCCCUCCGGACCUGCCA